GAUGAACGCUGGCGGCGUGCCUAAUACAUGCAAGUCGAGCGAACAGACGAGGAGCUUGCUCCUCUGACGUUAGCGGCGGACGGGUGAGUAACACGUGGAUAACCUACCUAUAAGACUGGGAUAACUUCGGGAAACCGGAGCUAAUACCGGAUAAUAUAUUGAACCGCAUGGUUCAAUAGUGAAAGACGGUUUUGCUGUCACUUAUAGAUGGAUCCGCGCCGCAUUAGCUAGUUGGUAAGGUAACGGCUUACCAAGGCAACGAUGCGUAGCCGACCUGAGAUGGUGAUCGUCCACACUGGAACUGAGACACGGUCCAGACUCCUACGGGAGGCAGCAGUAGGGAAUCUUCCGCAAUGGGCGAAAGCCUGACGGAGCAACGCCGCGUGAGUGAUGAAGGUCUUCGGAUCGUAAAACUCUGUUAUUAGGGAAGAACAAAUGUGUAAGUAACUAUGCACGUCUUGACGGUACCUAAUCAGAAAGCCACGGCUAACUACGUG
Molecule: ribosomal RNA, 497 nt
Filed under: uncultured bacterium
Lineage: Bacteria
Description: partial 16S ribosomal RNA
Rfam family: Bacterial small subunit ribosomal RNA
Source: RNAcentral